GCAGGAGAACAAUACCCCUGGAGAUGCGCGGAGUAGGCUAUGUCAUCCUAUGACCACAACGAUUGGCUGCUACUCAAGACGAGAGGUGAUAUUUUUAAAUAUUCGAUUCUUCAAUUGUCGUUUCAAAUCCUUGGACUGGUGGCUGGGAUUGUAUUAGUUAUUUGGAGCGACCUACUUGUACCCAAGUCCAAUUAGUAAGUUGAAUAUAGCCCUCUUGUUCUAACCAGGUGCAGUUGAACUGGAUGUUUUUGAUCCACUGCUUACUCUUGUUUUUUCUACAAAAAAUCUAAUCCUUGGAAAGUGGCAUGUUAAUUCUACAUUAGUCGCUAGUUCUAUGCACAUACAAUACUUAUUUGGGAAUGAAAACUGUAGCGCUUUAGCAAGAAAGGCUGAUUAAGCUAAUCUGGUCUCCCUCUAUGUACUUGUCAGGGCUCAUUAAUAGCAUGGUUCUGCUCACUGAAAUAGGAGAGAUGCUGAACAAGACAGAUGAAGAACAAAUGGCCAAGUACACUUGCUGGAAGAUUGAUGAAACAGAGAGCACAGGUAAAAAGUUAGACCAUAGGAACUGAGACUUGAGUAAUAGUUCAAGUCAGCUCAAAGUACUACUUCCACAACCGCAAAUUAUAAAUUUUAGAAGUACGAAUGAAGGCAUAAAAAUUAACACAGAUUGCUAGUUUAGGUCUUCAAUGAUUUCCGAACAGAUUGAAACUGUAAGCCUCGAUGAAUUCACGGUCCACACGUGUUUUAAGAAGCAUUUUAAAGGAAAUUGCAAUUGAAAUCCAUAUGCAACUACGUGUAGAUAUAUUUGCUGCUAUUAGUACAUUUUUUUCCUAUCCAAAGGUCUUCUAUUAUUUCGAUACCCAUCAUAUGUGAAAAUCUGUGGUGAUAAAAGAAACAUGUCUACAGUCUGAUGUAAUGGUAGGCAUGAUUUUAUUUUGAGUUUUGCAUAUAUUUAUCCUAGCAAUUACUCAUAGUUGACAUCUGGUAAUAUAUGUUUUACUCGAUCGAGCUCCUAGAUGCCUAACUAGAGCACAUUUGUUGUCUCGAAAAACAAGAUGUAUGUGCAAGCAUAUGUUCUUUGAAAUGGCUUUGUUUUCAUCAAGUGCACUCUUGCUACUACAUAUAUGACUUUCGGUACAUGUAUAUAUACAAGUGCAUAUCUGAUUGUUUGCUGAUGGAGGAACUUCAAAUGCAAAUCCCUAAAAUUACAAUAAGAACCUUAUUCCUGAUGCCGUAUAACAGAUCUGAUUGCUUAUCAAUGAGUGCAUAAUUUUUCAGAGUGAGCCAUGUGAUAUGCUAUGUGCUAGCCUGUCUCUGGUUGAUGUUCUGAGAACGGUAUCUUUUGUAAUCUAUUGGCAACGCAUCUACUUUCUAGAUCUUUAAGAUCGGAAACUCUCAUUUUCUAAAGAUUGCUCAAAUAUACGAGUUCUUUUGCAGAGACAGAUGGCAAAGCAUAGCAAGGCCACAAGUUGAUCUAAGAUGUUUUGGUGAUUGCUUCGUUCAUAACAUGGUUGACACAUUUUGUUCACAUGGAAGUUAAUGUUGAUUUGGCGAUCAAAGACUUGGUCUCUCUUUAAUGGUAAAAAAAGGAGACUUGGGCUCUUCCAUGAUAUUUUUUAGUAGUCAUAGAUGUUCUAGUGAUUGAACAAUUGGUCUCAUAGGAACUUGGCCACUACAUUUUGUAGCAGACCAUGGUUUGAAUGCCAACUUAUGUAUGUCCUUAAUUGUUGGAGCUAAAUUCAGUGAAGAAAACUAAUGAAUCUUCUAUAUAUGUUGAA
Molecule: long non-coding RNA, 1778 nt
Filed under: Triticum aestivum (bread wheat)
Lineage: Eukaryota; Viridiplantae; Streptophyta; Magnoliopsida; Poales; Poaceae
Description: long non-coding RNA (TAES_LNC018784)
Source: RNAcentral